Non-coding RNA from Elaeis guineensis (African oil palm), 869 nucleotides. The record is from RefSeq and is a predicted model, not a curated record. Lineage: Eukaryota; Viridiplantae; Streptophyta; Magnoliopsida; Arecales; Arecaceae.
AAUCCAAUUUAUUCCUCCUGAAGGAAAUCACAAUUUGUCCUCGUUGCUAAACUUGGGUUCCUACCACCUCGACGGCACGACCCAUUCUCCCCUUUGUCGCCGCUCGGCAUGGGGCUCGCUGCGCUACCGUUUCUCGUCUCCCUGCUCUUCUUCGCCUCCGUUGAGGGCGACGUCUUCCUCGGUCUCCCGUUGGGCGAAUGGUAGCCUCCGCCAUGUCUCGACGUUCGGAUGCAGACCCUUAGAGGACUUGCUUUCCACCAGAAAAGAAGUCUCCCCUGUUUUGAGGGUUAUUUUGAAGUCAGUUGCUUGCUUUUAAUUUGCAAGAGCGGAAAUAAUUUGGCUAACUUCAUGGAUUAAGUAUAUAUUCUGCAUUGGAGUUAAGGGCAAUGCACCGAAGCUCCCCGUUGAUACGGUUCUGAGAUGGUGGUCCUGUUGCUCUGAUCCUUUAAGAAGCCAUUAUGCGGGAAUUAUUCAGCUGUUCGUAGAUUUGUGAAAGCCAGAGAUUGGAGAUUCGAUUGAGUGGAUCAUGUCAUAUUUUGGUGUGAUGAUUGUUUACGAAGCCAACGGAUGCUGAUUCUUAUCAAGCUUAUUGCAAUAAGGUGGCUCUUUAAAUUGCAUCUUGGAUCUAAUGUGCUAACCAUUGUUAUGGGGCAUUCUUUGAUUCUCAAUCUUCGCUAUGUUGGCUUCUCAACUACAAGGUGUUACAUGUUGUGCACUUUAGAUGAAUAUUACAAUCUUGAUGUUGACCGUGCUGGUGUCGAUUAAACAUGCAAAUGUUUGCAUUGGCAAUUGUUGUAAAGAAGAAUCCAUGUUUAAAUUAUGUUUAUAAUGAGAAUUGGAAUGCCAUUUAUUUAAAUGUGCUUAUAAGA